GUUAAUAUGGCAGAGCUUGGUUAUGCAAAAGAUCUAAGCCCUUUAAACCGGGGUUCAAAUCCCCUUAUUAACU
This 73-nucleotide transfer RNA is filed under the name Rana dabieshanensis. RNAcentral describes it as "tRNA-Leu". It matches the Rfam family "tRNA". Rfam says of the family: Transfer RNA (tRNA) molecules are approximately 80 nucleotides in length. The record is from RNAcentral. Lineage: Eukaryota; Metazoa; Chordata; Amphibia; Anura; Ranidae.